GAUAACUAAUUUUUGAUUUUCUUUCACUUCAUAUUUUGAAUACAAAUUUCACUAACUUAGACUUUUGAAUUUCAUUAUGUAAUUUUGAGUACGUAGAGAAGGUGUAAUGUUAUUAAUGCUAUAAUUUGGAGUAAUAGAUAUAUAAGAAAAAGGAACUUUCAUUAAAGAUGAAGCACGUGCUUUGGACCUUGUGUAUAUGUUUUAUUGUGUUUACUGAAGUGAAAUCGAUCUCAGAGUUAGAAGAGUUUAGACAAAAUGCCACAGCGGUAAUUAAACAAUACAUUGGAACAUUCUCUGAUGUAAUAGGAACAGACUUGUGGAUCUGGGUUGGGAUUGCUGCUGGUGGAACAUUUAUUCUUUGUCUGAUACUAUGGGCUGUCUGCAGUUGCUGUUAUUGCUUAUGUAGUGGUGGGGCUAAAAAGAGGAGGUCAAAUAACCGAGCUCCAUGAUGACAGGAUGGAGGCCUUCACAGUCUUUAGGAAGGGAGAGGACUCCAGCAAGAUGUUUAUUUGUAUUCUCAAAAAUU
RNAcentral lists this unclassified non-coding RNA (526 nucleotides) under Limulus polyphemus (Atlantic horseshoe crab). RNAcentral describes it as "uncharacterized LOC106457858, transcript variant X2". The record is from RNAcentral. Lineage: Eukaryota; Metazoa; Arthropoda; Merostomata; Xiphosura; Limulidae.